CUUGGGGUAAAGGUAGUGAACGAGAGGAGCCAAAUCUGGAGCAUGGGAAGGAAUUCAAGGCAAUACAUCACCUUCAUUGGAUAAGCCUUUUUAGCUUGUUUUGCACUGAUUGUCCUCGCCUUGCUUCGGUGGAAGGGUUCUCUGAGCACUCCGCAAAAUGCUUCUGCAAGUCUCCAGGAGCUGUGGGGCUUCUCCAGGCCCCACGUGGGAAUCUUCUGGAAUGUAUAAAGUCUGGGCACACUGGACUUGGAGUAUGAACUGGGGAGCUCAUGGGAAUCUGACUCCCUACCCUCCCCUUCACUGAAGCCGUAUACUGUGAGGUUUCAGAGAGGGGCGAUUUGAGUUUUUCUGUAGGCUGUCAACAUUACUAAAAGAGAAAAAUUUCUCCCAACCACAAGGAAAAAAUAGAGAAAUAAAUGUCAAGUCUGCAAGUCUGCUGCAUUUAAAACCCCCAAGUUCCUGCUCUAAUUAGUAUUCUAAACCAGGCAAGAGCAGAAAUUCAAA
Choloepus didactylus (southern two-toed sloth) is the source of this 504-nucleotide long non-coding RNA. RefSeq lists it as uncharacterized. The record is from RefSeq and is a predicted model, not a curated record. Lineage: Eukaryota; Metazoa; Chordata; Mammalia; Pilosa; Megalonychidae. The transcript has 3 exons.